RNAcentral lists this ribosomal RNA (254 nucleotides) under uncultured bacterium. RNAcentral describes it as "partial 16S ribosomal RNA". It matches the Rfam family "Bacterial small subunit ribosomal RNA", at positions 524 to 776 of the family's 1533-position model. The record is from RNAcentral.
UACGGAGGGUGCAAGCGUUGUUCGGAAUCAUUGGGCGUAAAGCGCGCGCAGGCGGUGGAAUCAGUCCAUGGGUGAAAUGCCGGAGCUCAACUCCGUGCCCGCCCAGGAUACUGUUUCACUGGAGACACGUAGAGGCUGGCGGAAUUCCGGGUGUAGCGGUGGAAUGCGUAGAGAUCCGGAGGAACUCCAAAGGCGCAAGCAGCUUCCUGGCCGAGGACUGACACUGAGGGACGAAAGCGUGGGGAGCAAACAGG